RNAcentral lists this ribosomal RNA (256 nucleotides) under uncultured bacterium. RNAcentral describes it as "partial 16S ribosomal RNA". It matches the Rfam family "Bacterial small subunit ribosomal RNA", at positions 521 to 776 of the family's 1533-position model. The record is from RNAcentral.
UAAUACGGAGGGUGCGAGCGUUAAUCGGAAUUACUGGGCGUAAAGCGCAUGUAGGCGGUUUUUUAAGUCAGGAGUGAAAUCCCAGGGCUUACCCUUGGAAUUGCUUUUGAAACUGGGAGACUUGAGUUCGUGAGAGGGUGGCGGAAUUCCUGGUGUAGGAGUGAAAUCCGUAGAGAUCAGGAGGAACCCCGGUGGCGAAGGCGGCCACCUGGCGCGACACUGACGCUGAGAUGCGAAAGCGUGGGGAGCAAACAGG